Molecule: ribosomal RNA, 377 nt
Filed under: uncultured bacterium
Lineage: Bacteria
Description: bacterial SSU rRNA
Rfam family: Bacterial small subunit ribosomal RNA
Source: RNAcentral
UACGAAGGGUGCAAGCGUUAAUCGGAAUUACUGGGCGUAAAGGGUGCGUAGACGGCCUGAUAAGUCGACUGUGAAAGUCCUGGGCUCAACCUGGGGACGGCAGUUGAUACUGUUGGGCUUUGAGUUUGGGAGAGGGUGGUGGAAUUCCCGGUGUAGCGGUGAAAUGCGUAGAGAUCGGGAGGAACAUCCGUGGCGAAGGCGGCCACCUGGCCUAAAACUGACGUUGAGGCACGAAAGCGUGGGGAGCAAACAGGAUUAGAUACCCUGGUAGUCCACGCCCUAAACGAUGAUCACUGGACGUUGGGAGGAAUUGACCUCUUAGUGUCGAAGCUAACGCGUGAAGUGAUCCGCCUGGGGAGUACGCUCGCAAGAGUGAA